GGUGAGUAACACGUGGAUAACCUACCUAUAAGACUGGGAUAACUUCGGGAAACCGGAGCUAAUACCGGAUAAUAUUUUGAACCGCAUGGUUCAAAAGUGAAAGACGGUCUUGCUGUCACUUAUAGAUGGAUCCGCGCUGCAUUAGCUAGUUGGUAAGGUAACGGCUUACCAAGGCAACGAUGCAUAGCCGACCUGAGAGGGUGAUCGGCCACACUGGAACUGAGACACGGUCCAGACUCCUACGGGAGGCAGCAGUAGGGAAUCUUCCGCAAUGGGCGAAAGCCUGACGGAGCAACGCCGCGUGAGUGAUGAAGGUCUUCGGAUCGUAAAACUCUGUUAUUAGGGAAGAACAUAUGUGUAAGUAACUGUGCACAUCUUGACGGUACCUAAUCAGAAAGCCACGGCUAACUACGUGCCAGCAGCCGCGGUAAUACGUAGGUGGCAAGCGUUAUCCGGAAUUAUUGGGCGUAAAGCGCGCGUAGGCGGUUUUUUAAGUCUGAUGUGAAAGCCCACGGCUCAACCGUGGAGGGUCAUUGGAAACUGGAAAACUUGAGUGCAGAAGAGGAAAGUGGAAUUCCAUGUGUAGCGGUGAAAUGCGCAGAGAUAUGGAGGAACACCAGUGGCGAAAGGCGACUUUCUGGUCUGUAACUGACGCUGAUGUGCCGAAAGCGUGGGGAUCAAACAGGAUUAGAUACCCUGGUAGUCCACGCCGUAAACGAUGAGUGCUAAGUGUUAGGGGGUUUCCGCCCCUUAGUGCUGCAGCUAACGCAUUAAGCACUCCGCCUGGGGAGUACGACCGCAAGGUUGAAACUCAAAGGAAUUGACGGGGACCCGCACAAGCGGUGGAGCAUGUGGUUUAAUUCGAAGCAACGCGAAGAACCUUACCAAAUCUUGACAUCCUUUGACAACUCUAGAGAUAGAGCUUUCCCCUUCGGGGGACAAAGUGACAGGUGGUGCAUGGUUGUCGUCAGCUCGUGUCGUGAGAUGUUGGGUUAAGUCCCGCAACGAGCGCAACCCUUAAGCUUAGUUGCCAUCAUUAAGUUGGGCACUCUAAGUUGACUGCCGGUGACAAACCGGAGGAAGGUGGGGAUGACGUCAAAUCAUCAUGCCCCUUAUGAUUUGGGCUACACACGUGCUACAAUGGACAAUACAAAGGGCAGCGAAACCGCGAGGUCAAGCAAAUCCCAUAAAGUUGUUCUCAGUUCGGAUUGUAGUCUGCAACUCGACUACAUGAAGCUGGAAUCGCUAGUAAUCGUAGAUCAGCAUGCUACGGUGAAUACGUUCCCGGGUCUUGUACACACCGCCCGUCACACC
RNAcentral lists this ribosomal RNA (1314 nucleotides) under Staphylococcus argenteus. RNAcentral describes it as "bacterial SSU rRNA". It matches the Rfam family "Bacterial small subunit ribosomal RNA", at positions 105 to 1403 of the family's 1533-position model. The record is from RNAcentral. Lineage: Bacteria; Bacillati; Bacillota; Bacilli; Caryophanales; Staphylococcaceae.